GACGAACGCUGGCGGCGUGCUUAACACAUGCAAGUCGAACGAUGAACCCGGAGCUUGCUCCGGUGGAUUAGUGGCGAACGGGUGAGUAACACGUGAGUAACCUGCCCUUGACUCUGGGAUAACUGCGGGAAACUGUAGCUAAUACCGGAUACGACCCUCGGCGGCAUCGCCAGGGGGUGGCAAGAAUUUCGGUCAAGGAUGGACUCGCGGCCUAGCAGCUAGUUGGUGAGGUAACGGCUCACCAAGGCGACGACGGGUAGCCGGCCUGAGAGGGUGACCGGCCACACUGGGACUGAGACACGGCCCAGACUCCUACGGGAGGCAGCAGUGGGGAAUAUUGCACAAUGGGCGCAAGCCUGAUGCAGCAACGCCGCGUGAGGGAUGACGGCCUUCGGGUUGUAAACCUCUUUUAGUAGGGAAGAGGCGAAAGUGACGGUACCUGCAGAAAAAGCACCGGCUAACUACGUGCCAGCCGCCGCGGUAA
RNAcentral lists this ribosomal RNA (484 nucleotides) under uncultured bacterium. RNAcentral describes it as "partial 16S ribosomal RNA". It matches the Rfam family "Bacterial small subunit ribosomal RNA", at positions 28 to 523 of the family's 1533-position model. The record is from RNAcentral.